RNAcentral lists this ribosomal RNA (1477 nucleotides) under uncultured bacterium. RNAcentral describes it as "16S ribosomal RNA". It matches the Rfam family "Bacterial small subunit ribosomal RNA". The record is from RNAcentral.
GACGAACGCUGGCGGCGUGCUUAACACAUGCAAGUCGAACGGAAAGGCCCUGCUUUUGUGGGGUGCUCGAGUGGCGAACGGGUGAGUAACACGUGAGUAACCUGCCCUUGACUUUGGGAUAACUUCAGGAAACUGGGGCUAAUACCGGAUAGGAGCUCCUGCUGCAUGGUGGGGGUUGGAAAGUUUCGGCGGUUGGGGAUGGACUCGCGGCUUAUCAGCUUGUUGGUGGGGUAGUGGCUUACCAAGGCUUUGACGGGUAGCCGGCCUGAGGGGGUGACCGGCCACAUUGGGACUGAGAUACGGCCCAGACUCCUACGGGAGGCAGCAGUGGGGAAUAUUGCACAAUGGGCGGAAGCCUGAUGCAGCAACGCCGCGUGCGGGAUGACGGCCUUCGGGUUGUAAACCGCUUUCGCCUGUGACGAGGCGUGAGUGACGGUAAUGGGUAAAGAAGCACCGGCUAACUACGUGCCAGCAGCCGCGGUGAUACGUAGGGUGCGAGCGUUGCCCGGAUUUAUUGGGCGUAAAGGGCUCGUAGGUGGUUGAUCGCGUCGGAAGUGUAAUCUUGGGGCUUAACCCUGAGCGUGCUUUCGAUACGGGUUGACUUGAGGAAGGUAGGGGAGAAUGGAAUUCCUGGUGGAGCGGUGGAAUGCGCAGAUAUCAGGAGGAACACCAGUGGCGAAGGCGGUUCUCUGGGCCUUUCCUGACGCUGAGGAGCGAAAGCGUGGGGAGCGAACAGGCUUAGAUACCCUGGUAGUCCACGCUGUAAACGGUGGGUACUAGGUGUGGGGUCCAUUCCAUGGGUUCCGUGCCGUAGCUAACGCUUUAAGUACCCCGCCUGGGGAGUACGGCCGCAAGGCUAAAACUCAAAGGAAUUGACGGGGCCCCGCACAAGCGGCGGAGCAUGCGGAUUAAUUCGAUGCAACGCGUAGAACCUUACCUGGGUUUGACAUGGAUCGGGAGUGCUCAGAGAUGGGUGUGCCUCUUUUGGGGUCGGUUCACAGGUGGUGCAUGGCUGUCGUCAGCUCGUGUCGUGAGAUGUUGGGUUAAGUCCCGCAACGAGCGCAACCCUUGUUCACUGUUGCCAGCACGUUAUGGUGGGGACUCAGUGGAGACCGCCGGGGUCAACUCGGAGGAAGGUGGGGAUGACGUCAAGUCAUCAUGUCCCUUAUGUCCAGGGCUUCACGCAUGCUACAAUGGCUGGUACAGAGAGUGGCGAGCCUGUGAGGGUGAGCGAAUCUCGGAAAGCCGGUCUCAGUUUGGAUUGGGGUCUGCAACUCGACCUCAUGAAGUCGGAGUCGCUAGUAAUCGCAGAUCAGCAACGCUGCGGUGAAUACGUUCCCGGGGCUUGUACACACCGCCCGUCAAGUCAUGAAAGUUGGUAACACCCGAAGCCGGUGGCCUAACCGUUGUGGGGGAGCCGUCGAAGGUGGGACUGGUGAUUAGGACUAAGUCGUAACAAGGUAGCCGUACCGGAAGG